Non-coding RNA from Guyanagaster necrorhizus, 106 nucleotides. NCBI's taxonomy places the organism in Eukaryota, Fungi, Basidiomycota, Agaricomycetes, Agaricales, Physalacriaceae. The record is from the annotation of a RefSeq genome assembly.
GCCCGCCUAGCUCAAUCGGAUAGAGCGUCAGACUUUUACGGCGGAGUUCAUAAUCUGACUUAGAAUUGGAAUCUGAAGGCUGCGAGUUCGACCCUCGCGGUGGGCU